UUUUACGACAGCGUCGCAGCUCUGCCCACCCGCCGGCUGCCGCGCCUCACGGCGGCGCGGCGACGAUGGCGUCUCCGUUCAGCGGGGUGCUGCAGCUGACGGACCUGGACGACUACAUCGGGCCCUCGCAGGAAUGUGUCAAACCUGUAAAGGUGGAAAAAAAGCCUGGGAAAGCAGCAGCUAAGAUCAAAAUCGAAGCCGAUGGGAGCUAUUUUCAGAUCACUCAGGAUGGAGGAGCACAGAAACUGGAGAAGGCUAAAAUUACUCUGAAUGACUGUUUAGCUUGCAGUGGCUGCAUUACAUCAGCAGAAAGUGUCUUAAUCACUCAACAGAGCCAUGAAGAGUUCUACAAAACUCUAUCUUUUAACAAGACUGCAGCUCCCAGUGAACAGAAGUUGGUGGUGGUUUCUGUUUCACCACAGUCCAGGGCUUCAUUAGCUGCAAAAUGUAAAAUGAGUGUUCUGGAAACAGCAAAGAAGUUGACUGCGUUCUUAAAGAGUCAAGGUGUGCACUACGUGUUUGACACAACUUUCUCAAGAAACUUCAGCCUGCUGGAGAGCCAAAAAGAGUUUGUAAAACGCUUUCGAAAGCAAUCUGAAGACAAAAAGGCUUUGCCAAUGCUAGCUUCUGCCUGUCCAGGUUGGAUCUGCUAUGCAGAGAAAACCCAUGGCAGUUUCAUCAUUCCUUACAUCAGCACCACUAAGUCUCCACAGCAGAUCAUGGGCUCCUUGAUAAAGGGCCAUUUUGCAGAGCAGCAGCACUUAACACCUAAUAAGAUAUACCACGUAACAGUGAUGCCCUGCUAUGACAAGAAGCUGGAGGCUUCAAGGCCAGACUUCUUCAACCAAGAGUUCCAGACCCGUGAUGUGGAUUGUGUGAUCACCACAGGAGAAGUGCUGAAGUUGUUGGAACAAGAAAAAGUGUCUCUCUCAGAUGUAGAUCCUGCUCCUUUGGAUACCAUGUUUAAUAGUGCCACAGAGGAGGAACUCACUGGCCACUCAGGAGGUGGCUCUGGUGGCUAUUUGGAGCACAUAUACAAGUAUGCAGCCAAGGAACUCUUUGGCAUUGAAGUGGAUACAAUUCAGUACAAGCCUUUAAAAAACAAGGACUUCCAAGAGGUGACACUGGAGAAGGAUGGAGCAGUUCUGCUCCAGUUUGCUCUGGCAUACGGGUUUCGAAACAUACAAAACUUAGUGCAGAAGUUGAAGCGGGGGAAGUCACCCUAUCACUACGUGGAAGUCAUGGCCUGCCCAUCAGGUUGUUUAAAUGGAGGCGGCCAGAUCAAAGUGGAAGGUGAACCUAGCAAGGACUGGCUUCAGCAAGUUGAGAAGCUGUAUGAGUCUCUUAAGACUGAAAUUCCAGAGGAGAACCGGACUGUAACUGCUCUGUAUGAGCAGUGGCUGGGUGGCACUGAGUCUGAAAAGGCAGGGAAAGCUCUGCAUACAGAAUACCAUGCCGUGGAAAAAGCAAGCACUGGAUUUAACAUCAAGUGGUGAAGGCUGAUGCUGGAAGCAGACUGUGAAGCCUGAAUAUUCUUAGUGCCUUUUAAGUUGAUUCUAUUUACGAUUCUCAAGAGACAGCCACAGUUCUGUGCCAUCACUGGGGAACUGCAGUUUCUCACUCUCAGUCAGGGAGAAGUUACUGCUAUGUGGGGAAGAACGACUGCAGGAAGUAAAAUGGAUGAAAACUGAACGCAAAGCAGCCACUUUGCUUUGCUCUUUCAGAACAGACAUGGAGCUGGUUACUGCACGUAGCCCAGACUCAAACCUUGGCCAGGCUCUCUUCAGAGAUAACCCUCACUGUUCCUGCAGACCUUGUGCUUAGGGCUGUCAAGAAGCAAAACUGUCAGACCUUAACCUGCCUCAUUUAACAGCUUCCCUGGCAGCCCUUCCCUGCAUCCUCCUUCAAUCUUCAUUAAAAAUGAGCCAACAGUGUAAAAGAUAAUUGUAAUGGUUUUAAUUAAAGGCUUUACAUACUUCAGGUGUUGCUGAUCAAGCAGUAGAUUCACAGUGUUCAUAAGGCAGAAAUCUCCCUCUGCUCCCCCAUCCCUUCCCCGCUCAUUUUGCAAGCAGUGGUUGUGCUCAAUGCCCUUUUCCAUGCGUAGUUCUGUAAGGCUGUUAUGCUAAACCAUAACAUUGUUCUGUACAGCAAGAGAGAGAUGCCAAACUAAGUGCCGAAUCCAUAAACUUUAUACAUCAGUGCAAAAGAAACACAUUCUGUUUCUACUGAGAACAUGCACAUCUAGACAGAAGUGCACAAUUAAGUACAGCUGAAUGAGCUGCAGGUUAAACAACCAAGGAUCCACAUUUUGCCUUCUCCAGUGACCAGUCCAGAAUAGCACAGUACUGAAGCUGUCAGAGGACUCUCCACCCAGAGCACCCCAUGCAGCUCUCCCAGGUAUUCGUUGUCACCAUGGCAUCAAGAAUAGCUUAGAUUUCACCUCUGAGCUGCACACAGCUGCUGCCAACAUGAGCAAGUCCAGUGCUGGGCCAGGAUCCCUCCAGGCAUCCCAGUGCUGCUCACAGCAAAGCACCCAGGCUGCCCAAUGACACUUGGCAUCGCCUGCAGCUGCACCCUUAGGGCAUCUCUGAAACAACAGCACUGAGGCAACUUGUGCAGCAGGGCUGAUUCUCCCCCUCCUGGAGGGAAGUGUAAAUUUUAACAACGUAACAUUAAAAAAAAAAAAAAGCAAAAAAGAAAAC
Molecule: RNA transcript, 2702 nt
Organism: Tympanuchus pallidicinctus (lesser prairie-chicken)
Lineage: Eukaryota; Metazoa; Chordata; Aves; Galliformes; Phasianidae
Gene: CIAO3
Gene name: cytosolic iron-sulfur assembly component 3
Exons: 12
Source: RefSeq, a predicted model, not a curated record